RNAcentral lists this unclassified non-coding RNA (538 nucleotides) under Hevea brasiliensis (rubber tree). The record is from RNAcentral. Lineage: Eukaryota; Viridiplantae; Streptophyta; Magnoliopsida; Malpighiales; Euphorbiaceae.
UGCUUCAGAAAUGGAAAACGGAGGGAGGGAGUGAGGGAGAGGUGGUUGUUUUGAAAUGCGAAAGCUCAUACGAAAUACAAAUCGUAACCAGAUAAGGGAAACAAUUGGGUUCACGUUGAAAGUGCAUAUACAGAAGGCGCACAAUAUGCAUAGUUUUCAAAGCAAGAAACAGUUAAGUGACAGGGAAGUGGAUGGUGAUGUGCGGAUGGGAGAAGUAGCGCAGGCGUCAGAUUACACAGGUGAUUGAGAGCCGGUUGGUUCACCGCAGGAUUGCGGAGGUGCCGACAACGAAUCACAUUGCUUCCUUUUCAAAUUGAUAGCUUCCAGUAUAAUCGCCAACCUACCAGGACCUUUUUGGGGGGUAUUGGCUGCCACUUGGAUCCGAUUCAUUGGUUUAUAAUGUUUACACUUGUCUACUUUCUUAGCCGCCCGUUGUGGACAUGUGGAACGCAUCUUAGCUCAAAGCCCACCCAAUCAGCCCUGUGAGUGGGUUGGGUCUGGUCGAGAAAGCAUGCCGAACCCAUAGUCUUGCCGAAAG